This is a long non-coding RNA of Cryptomeria japonica (Japanese cedar), 791 nucleotides long. RefSeq lists it as uncharacterized. The record is from RefSeq and is a predicted model, not a curated record. Lineage: Eukaryota; Viridiplantae; Streptophyta; Pinopsida; Cupressales; Cupressaceae. The transcript is spliced from 2 exons.
AAGACGACUAAUCACAAAUAUGAUGACUAACAAUGUUGAAGGAGCUGCGUGUCAUGAUUACAGCUUUAGAAUCCACUCUUCCACUUCAUCUUGUAGUCCAGAUUCAUUACGAAAUGAUUCAUGUUUUGAAAUGAUCAUAAAGUUACGCAUAAAAGGUAAUUUCAAAAAGCGAAGCUGUACAUUCCAUUCAUGGUGAAUUCAUAAAAAAAUUCCCCUUUUAGAAAUCACCUUUACCUAUAUAUAGAGGAAUGGUACUUAGCCUUUUGGGCACUAUUAAAAUUGGCGCCAAAGGAAAGGUCUUCUUUUGCUGUCAAAAGAACACAGAAGUCUCAACAAAGUGGGAGAGGAUCAUCAACCUCAACAAAAUUCCUUUCUUGGGGUUCUCAACAGACUUUGUGUGGCAAAGGAGGUAGAAAUUGAAUGGGUCCUUUGAGUGAGGAGGGUUGGCCUGUCCAUGUGGACAGAUGAUGCCAACAUGGCUUGAUGGUAAAUCCUACCCUUGAGUGACUUCCACGAGGGCAUGGAAAAGAUUCAUGUACAAAUCUGCUCUACAUAAAUCCCUGGAUAUGCAGUCUUACAUAUAUGCUAUGGCUGGAAUUCUGAUUGGUUUUCUUUCCUAUGGCUAUCUCAUAUAUCAUGUACUUGUAUGAUGGCUGUGCAAACGGUGACUCAUGUUAUGUAUGUUGUUUAGUUCUUAAAAAACUUACUAUGUGAAAGGGGUAAUCGACAUGUUCAGAUAAGUGGAAUAUUAAUAAUAAUGAGUUUAAUUAAUUACCAUAUUAUUGAAUUCA